RNAcentral lists this ribosomal RNA (585 nucleotides) under uncultured bacterium. RNAcentral describes it as "partial 16S ribosomal RNA". It matches the Rfam family "Bacterial small subunit ribosomal RNA", at positions 355 to 937 of the family's 1533-position model. The record is from RNAcentral.
UGGGGAAUUUUGGACAAUGGGCGAAAGCCUGAUCCAGCAAUGCCGCGUGUGUGAAGAAGGCCUUCGGGUUGUAAAGCACUUUUGUCCGGAAAGAAAUCCUUGGCUCUAAUACAGUCGGGGGAUGACGGUACCGGAAGAAUAAGCACCGGCUAACUACGUGCCAGCAGCCGCGGUAAUACGUAGGGUGCAAGCGUUAAUCGGAAUUACUGGGCGUAAAGCGUGCGCAGGCGGUUUGCUAAGACCGAUGUGAAAUCCCCGGGCUCAACCUGGGAACUGCAUUGGUGACUGGCAGGCUAGAGUAUGGCAGAGGGGGGUAGAAUUCCACGUGUAGCAGUGAAAUGCGUAGAGAUGUGGAGGAAUACCGAUGGCGAGGCAGCCCCCUGGGCCAAUACUGACGCUCAUGCACGAAAAGCGUGGGGAGCAAACAGGAUUCAGAUACCCUGGUAGUCCACGCCCUAAACGAUGUCAACUAGUUGUUGGGGAUUCAUUUCCUUAGUAACGUAGCUAACGCGUGAAGUUGACCGCCUGGGGAGUACGGUCGAAAGAUUAAAACUCAAAGGAAUUGACGGGGUCAUAGCUGUUUCC